Molecule: non-coding RNA, 145 nt
Organism: Letharia columbiana
Lineage: Eukaryota; Fungi; Ascomycota; Lecanoromycetes; Lecanorales; Parmeliaceae
Source: the annotation of a RefSeq genome assembly
GCUCAGGUAGUUCAAUGGCAGAACGUCAGGACCUCAUCUGGGUCGGGGUCGCUCCCUAGACCGGGAGCGCUUGCCAAUGUGUAGGUGUUCUAGGUCUCCCGGACUGAUCAACUUGAAGAUAACGGUUCGAAACCGUUCUUGAGCA